This 585-nucleotide long non-coding RNA is filed under the name Marmota monax (woodchuck). Lineage: Eukaryota; Metazoa; Chordata; Mammalia; Rodentia; Sciuridae. The record is from RNAcentral.
ACCAGCACUACAAAAUAUUCUUGUAAAAAUAUUCCAUGAAGAGGAAACAAAAAAACAACAAUGAAAAUCAGCAGAGGGAAGUAGUAACUUAAAGGAAAAACUAAUCAAAGAAGAAAAUCAAGUCAAGUUAAAUGACAAAAAUAAACAAAUAUGGCUUGGAAUACAAACCAUGUCUUAAUAAUAACCCUGAAUGUUAAUGGCUUAAACUCACCAAUCAAAAGACAUAGAUUGGAUUAAAAAAAUAUCCAAUAAUAUGUUGUCUCCAGGAGACUCAUCUGAUAGGAAAAGACAUACACAGACUGAAGGUGAAAGGUUGGGAAAAACCAUACCACUCACAUGAACUGUGGAAGCAGGCAAGGGUUUCCAUACUCAUAUCAAAUAAGGUAGACCUUAAGCCAAAGUUAAUCAAAAGGGAUUAAGAUGGUCAUUACAUACUGCUCAAGGGAACCAUACACCAACAAGACAUAACAAUCAUAAAUAUAUAUGCCCCAAACAAUGGAGCAGCUAUGUUCAUCAAACAAAUUAUUCUCAAGUUCAAGAAUCAAAUUGACCACAAUACAAUAAUCUUGGGUGACUUAAACACAC